RNAcentral lists this ribosomal RNA (503 nucleotides) under uncultured bacterium. RNAcentral describes it as "partial 16S ribosomal RNA". It matches the Rfam family "Bacterial small subunit ribosomal RNA", at positions 30 to 523 of the family's 1533-position model. The record is from RNAcentral.
AUUGAACGCUGGCGGCAGGCUUAACACAUGCAAGUCGAGCGGGGUGAUGGUGCUUGCACUAUCACUUAGCGGCGGACGGGUGAGUAAUGCUUAGGAAUCUGCCUAUUAGUGGGGGACAACAUCUCGAAAGGGAUGCUAAUACCGCAUACGUCCUACGGGAGAAAGCAGGGGAUCACUUGUGACCUUGCGCUAAUAGAUGAGCCUAAGUCGGAUUAGCUAGUUGGUGGGGUAAAGGCCUACCAAGGCGACGAUCUGUAGCGGGUCUGAGAGGAUGAGCCGCCACACUGGGACUGAGACACGGCCCAGACUCCUACGGGAGGCAGCAGUGGGGAAUAUUGGACAAUGGGGGGAACCCUGAUCCAGCCAUGCCGUGUGUGUGAAGAAGGCCUUAUGGUUGUAAAGCACUUUAAGCGAGGAGGAGGCUCUUUUAGUUAAUACCCAAGAUGAGUGGACGUUACUCGCAGAAUAAGCACCGGCUAACUCUGUGCCAGCCGCCGCAGUAA